GAGGCUGCCCAUCCUUCAGCACAUGUGAAUCUCUUCAAUGGGAACAUGAACACAAAGGACAAAGCUGCAAAACAUCAUUUAUUCUACUUGAUGCAGAAAUGCAUACAGCAUAAAAAAGCAAUAUCAGAUGGAGAAGAUUGCUGUUAUACUGAACAUCAGAACAGCCGCGAUUUGUCACGCAACACACAGACCGAAUGUCAGGGAACUGUUUCUACUCCCUGAAGACUAACAAAGAGAGAGAGUGAGGAGAAACUUCUUCCCACCAUUCAGAAAUGAUCUGCUUUCCGUGGUAAAGUGUGACAUCAUGAAUGCAAGACAAAGAGUGCACGUCAGCCAGACCUUCCACAGCCAGCUGCACCUUCCUUAUUUUAUGAUACACUCAUGUCUUACAACCACAUCCUGGAAUUUGUGCUUAAUAAGGAAGUUUAAGAACACUUUCUUCUCUUUAUUUGUGCUUGAGCCUUCUCUGUUACUGUCUUCAGUGCACUUGAGUGAUAUCGAUACAUUUAGAGGAAGUAGAUGUAGAUGUGUAAACUAUGGGAAUAAUUUGAUUAAGGAGCAAGAAUGUUGGUCUGAGAGACUAUAUGAACUAAACCUGCUCAUCUAAACUAUGUUUAACCAAAGUAUUUCUAAGGGCUUCUUCAGUAUCAAUCUAAUCCAUAUUAAAUGUUGAACUAUGUGGUGAAUUUAUAACACUGACCCCACACAUUUAUAUAAUGGGACUACCUGUUUUUAAAUGCGAGACAUCAUCCUAUUGUUCCAAAGACUCGUUCUCUGAACCUUAUUAACAUAUUAUCAUUUCAUAUUUUAGCUGUCAGGCCCAUGUAUGUCAUGUAAUCCACUUACACCACAUACAUACACCACAACUUACAAAUAUGGCCAAUGACUUUUGAUUAUACACACACCUGUUUCCCUUUAAAUCAAGUACACAUAAGAGACUCUCUUUGCUGCCAUCUCUGCAAACACUCAGUUUGUGCUUUACCCCUGACUUUACCAAGCUGUUUGUUAUCAAUUAUUAUUGUUCUGGCUUUUGAAUUGUGUGACGUUUUGGAUUUCUCUGCCUUUGCCCUUAUUAAAAGAGUUGA
This is a long non-coding RNA of Hemibagrus wyckioides, 1085 nucleotides long. RefSeq lists it as uncharacterized. The record is from RefSeq and is a predicted model, not a curated record. NCBI's taxonomy places the organism in Eukaryota, Metazoa, Chordata, Actinopteri, Siluriformes, Bagridae. The transcript is spliced from 3 exons.